UACUUCAAACUUUAGUUUCAUUUGGGGAUGCAUCGAAUUGUUAUAACCUUAUCGUGCUAGAAACGACGGUGAAACCAACUAUCAGUAUUGUCAUCCCUCCUAAGUCAUCUCUGAAGUAGAGUUGGGGUUGAACGGUUCUAGAAAGAUGGGCGACUAAACAAGACAUCUCGCGUCGACCUGAUUAUUCUCUUCCAAGUUUAUGACUCCAAAGGAAACUUCUAAAACCUCUAAGUUUCGAACCAUUAGGAACCACGCGAACGCUGGGG
RNAcentral lists this long non-coding RNA (266 nucleotides) under Lathyrus oleraceus (garden pea). RNAcentral's name for it is "Pisum sativum (pea) long non-coding RNA (PSAT_LNC026587)". Lineage: Eukaryota; Viridiplantae; Streptophyta; Magnoliopsida; Fabales; Fabaceae. The record is from RNAcentral.